This is a long non-coding RNA of Musa acuminata AAA Group (dessert banana), 1260 nucleotides long. RefSeq lists it as uncharacterized. The transcript has 2 exons. The record is from RefSeq and is a predicted model, not a curated record. Lineage: Eukaryota; Viridiplantae; Streptophyta; Magnoliopsida; Zingiberales; Musaceae.
GCCUAGUACUUCCGUAGUCGAUGAGUCGAGUGAAUUAUUACAGAGAUAAUAAUUCACUGAGUUAGAAGGAGUUCUGACAAGUAUGACUCACGGCCAGCUCGAUAUUGGGCCUAGAGGGUCACACACAUAUGGUAGGCAUUGCGAUGAGUAGAGGUUCGGAUAUGAGAUAUCCGACGGAGCCCUUGUCUUAUUGGAUGCAGAUCCAAUACCCACUAGGGAAGGACCCAUUAGGGUUUUGACACGGGAUCUCUAUAAAUAGGAGGGAUUCACAGCCUCAUAGGCUAGAGUCUUUGCUUGCCCUUCCUAUUCUCCUCUCCCUCUCCCCCUCAGAGUAGGCCUGGAGUUUUGAGGAGCGUCGUCGCAACCCUGCUGUGUGGAUCACCGCUAGAGAGGAGGACGCUUGACCUCCUUCACCCUCUCCUAAGGAUCUGCAAGGAAACAGGGAUAUACGAUCUCCCUAGGUAACACAAUCUCUAUACGCAGUUUUGUGUUUUUUGCGGAUUUUGCGCACCAAUCUUCGCACGACGAUGAACAUCUUUUUGGGAAUCGGGGAUUUUUGUUUUCUUGUUCUUCCGCUGCGCAUAUGAUGUCGCCCCCUAUGAUUUCCCAACAGGCUGCAGUAGCUGCUUUUGGGAAAGAGAAAGAGUAGGAACGAGAGAAGGGAAGAAGGAAAUAGUGCAGUGGAAGGGGGCUGCGGUUGUGACCGCAGUUGCGGUCGUGGCUGCGAUUGUGGCAGCGGCAGCGACGGCAGCUGUGGCAGCUGCGUUUGGGAAAGAAAAAGAAGGAAUGAGAGUAAGAGAGAGCAGGUGACUGUGCCUCGAUGUUCGACACGUGAUAUAGUUGCGAAGAAAGGAAGAAAACGGGAGCACAAAACGAAACAGAGAGAGGACACGGAGAAAAAGUAGAAGGAUUUGAGCUGGCACCUUCUUUGGAUCUUCGGAUCGAAAUCAUUGAAAGGUCAGCUUGUCACUCUUCGAGAUGUUUGAUUUGGGCUGAGGCAGUGGAUAGCUAUUCAGAAUAAUGGGCAAGUCUGGUUGGUUAUUACGAUAUUGUUGUAUAAGUAUGUCUUGUAUGUAAUGAAAUGUUGUCGAUGAACCGAAAUGGAUAUACUGUGUCAAAGUGUUAGGAGAUCUCUCUUAUUUGGAAUUUCAGAAUGUUAAGUCUAAUUUAUGGUGAUAUGAACUUGUGGUGAAUAGUUGGAGUUCUGAUUGUAUAAUUUAAUUAGCUUGUGGAUUUAUAAAUGUGGUUCAUGUUUGUCAA